UAAUACAGAGGGGGCAAGCGUUGUCCGGAAUUACUGGGCGUACAGCGCGCGCAGGCGGGCCGUGACGUGCCGUGUGACAGCCGCCGGCUUAACCGGCGGAGGCCAGGGUAGACGCACGACCUGGAGGCAGGGAGAGGGAUGUGGAAUGCCCGGUGGAGCGGUGAAAUGCGUAGAGAUCGGGCGGAACACCAGCGGCGAAGGCGGCAUCCUGGCCCUGACCUGACGCUGAGGCGCGAGAGCGUGGGGAGCAAACCGGAUUAGAUACCCGGGUAGUCCACGCCGUAAACGAUGUGAACCCGGUGCUGGGGGGUGAUUGCGCCCCUCGGUGCCCCAGCUUACGCGAUGAGUUCACCGCCUGGGGACUACGGCCGCAAGGCUA
RNAcentral lists this ribosomal RNA (379 nucleotides) under uncultured bacterium. Its description in RNAcentral is "bacterial SSU rRNA". It matches the Rfam family "Bacterial small subunit ribosomal RNA", at positions 521 to 896 of the family's 1533-position model. The record is from RNAcentral.